Molecule: long non-coding RNA, 165 nt
Filed under: Ictidomys tridecemlineatus (thirteen-lined ground squirrel)
Lineage: Eukaryota; Metazoa; Chordata; Mammalia; Rodentia; Sciuridae
Description: lncRNA (ENSSTOG00000031271.1)
Source: RNAcentral
ACUCCUACCCCCAGAAAACAGUGGGCAGAGUGGAAACAGGAGGUCUGCUCUGAUUAGAGGACCCACAGAAGCAGGAACAUGCUCCAAUGUGCAAAUGAGGAAACCAAGGCCCAGAGAGCAGAGGCAACUGCCAGGAACCAUGGAGCAGCAGGGAGAUGAAUCAGG